RNAcentral lists this transfer RNA (83 nucleotides) under Candidatus Tremblayella phenacoccinincola. RNAcentral describes it as "Candidatus Tremblaya phenacola tRNA-Leu". It matches the Rfam family "tRNA". From Rfam's summary of the family: Transfer RNA (tRNA) molecules are approximately 80 nucleotides in length. Their secondary structure includes four short double-helical elements and three loops (D, anti-codon, and T loops). Lineage: Bacteria; Pseudomonadati; Pseudomonadota; Betaproteobacteria. The record is from RNAcentral.
ACCGAGGUGGCGGAAUAGGUAGUCGCGUUACUUUGAGGUGGUAAUGCUUUAUAAGCAUACGGGUUCAAGCCCCGUCCUCGGUA